Molecule: ribosomal RNA, 809 nt
Filed under: uncultured Staphylococcus sp.
Lineage: Bacteria; Bacillati; Bacillota; Bacilli; Caryophanales; Staphylococcaceae
Description: bacterial SSU rRNA
Rfam family: Bacterial small subunit ribosomal RNA
Source: RNAcentral
UGAAUCGCAUGGUUCAAAAGUGAAAGACGGUCUUGCUGUCACUUAUAGAUGGAUCCGCGCUGCAUUAGCUAGUUGGUAAGGUAACGGCUUACCAAGGCAACGAUGCAUAGCCGACCUGAGAGGGUGAUCGGCCACACUGGAACUGAGACACGGUCCAGACUCCUACGGGAGGCAGCAGUAGGGAAUCUUCCGCAAUGGGCGAAAGCCUGACGGAGCAACGCCGCGUGAGUGAUGGAGGUCUUCGGAUCGUAAAACUCUGUUAUUAGGGAAGAACAUAUGUGUAAGUAACUGUGCACAUCUUGACGGUACCUAAUCAGAAAGCCACGGCUAACUACGUGCCAGCAGCCGCGGUAAUACGUAGGUGGCAAGCGUUAUCCGGAAUUAUUGGGCGUAAAGCGCGCGUAGGCGGUUUUUUAAGUCUGAUGUGAAAGCCCACGGCUCAACCGUGGAGGGUCAUUGGAAACUGGAAAACUUGAGUGCAGAAGAGGAAAGUGGAAUUCCAUGUGUAGCGGUGAAAUGCGCAGAGAUAUGGAGGAACACCAGUGGCGAAGGCGACUUUCUGGUCUGUAACUGACGCUGAUGUGCGAAAGCGUGGGGAUCAAACAGGAUUAGAUACCCUGGUAGUCCACGCCGUAAACGAUGAGUGCUAAGUGUUAGGGGGUUUCCGCCCCUUAGUGCUGCAGCUAACGCAUUAAGCACUCCGCCUGGGGAGUACGACCGCAAGGUUGAAACUCAAAGGAAUUGACGGGGACCCGCACAAGCGGUGGAGCAUGUGGUUUAAUCCGAAGCAACGCGAAGAACCUUACCAA